Molecule: small nuclear RNA, 144 nt
Filed under: Cephalotus follicularis
Lineage: Eukaryota; Viridiplantae; Streptophyta; Magnoliopsida; Oxalidales; Cephalotaceae
Description: U4 spliceosomal RNA
Rfam family: U4 spliceosomal RNA
About the family: U4 small nuclear RNA (U4 snRNA) is a component of the major U2-dependent spliceosome. The structure of U4 snRNA from yeast and human has been reported. U4 snRNA presents a k-turn RNA motif in the 5p-SL related to recognition of Snu13 protein.
Source: Rfam by way of RNAcentral
AUUUUUGCGUUUGGAGCAAUGACGCAGCUAGUAAGUUACUGACCAAUGCGCGUCUAUUACUGGUUGAAAACUAUUUUCAAACCCCCUCUUCGGCCUAGGCUUUGUCUAGACCGUAGAGAAUUUCUGGAAGGACUCCCUACGGGG